GACGAACGCUGGCGGCGUGCUUAACACAUGCAAGUCGAACGGAGAGGCCCUGAUCUUGCGGGGUGCUCGAGUGGCGAACGCGUGUGUAAAACGCGAGUAUACUGCCCCUGACUUUGGGAUAACUUCUGGAAACUGGGGCUCAUACAGGAUAGGAGAUCCUGCUGCAUGGUGGGCGAUGGAAAGUUUCGGUGGUGGGGGAUGGAAUGGAGGCAUAUCAGCUGGAUGGGGGGGUAGUGGAUUUCCAAGGUUUUGACGUGUAGCCGGCCUGAGAGGGUGACCGGCCACAUUGGGACUGAGGUACGGCCCAGACUGCUACGGUAGGCAGCAGUGGGAAAUAUUGCACAAUGGGCGGAAGCCUGAUGCAGCAACGCCGCGUGCUGGAUAACGGCCUUCGUGUUGUAAACCGCUUUCGCCUGUAACGAAGCGUGAGUGACGGUAAUGUGUAAAGAAGCACCGGCUAACUACGUG
RNAcentral lists this ribosomal RNA (468 nucleotides) under uncultured bacterium. Its description in RNAcentral is "partial 16S ribosomal RNA". It matches the Rfam family "Bacterial small subunit ribosomal RNA", at positions 28 to 507 of the family's 1533-position model. The record is from RNAcentral.